UAGCUCAGUAGGUAAAGCAUCUGCCUGCAAUGUAGGAGACCUGGGUUCAAUUCCUGG
This 57-nucleotide transfer RNA is filed under the name Ovis aries (sheep). It matches the Rfam family "tRNA", at positions 8 to 63 of the family's 71-position model. From Rfam's summary of the family: Transfer RNA (tRNA) molecules are approximately 80 nucleotides in length. Their secondary structure includes four short double-helical elements and three loops (D, anti-codon, and T loops). Further hydrogen bonds mediate the characteristic L-shaped molecular structure. tRNAs have two regions of fundamental functional importance: the anti-codon, which is responsible for specific mRNA codon recognition, and the 3' end, to which the tRNAs corresponding amino acid is attached (by aminoacyl-tRNA synthetases). tRNAs cope with the degeneracy of the genetic code in two manners: having more than one tRNA (with a specific anti-codon) for a particular amino acid; and 'wobble' base-pairing, i.e. permitting non-standard base-pairing at the 3rd anti-codon position. Lineage: Eukaryota; Metazoa; Chordata; Mammalia; Artiodactyla; Bovidae. The record is from Rfam by way of RNAcentral.